UUUCACACUAUCACAGUUUGUUUCGUUUCAGUCAAUACACCAAAUAAUUGAUUGUUUUCAGUGUAUUUAAUUUUUCUUGGGACACACUGAUACCUACCAAGCAAUAUGCCGAAGAAAGGUGAAGAAGACAAGGAAUUGCAAUACCUCAUGGUGGAUCGUGGAGCCAUCAACGAUCCUGCCAUGCAGGCUGAUUGGACAGCGAAAAAGCUUGUCUGGGUCCCUUCCGCAGAUAAGGGUUUUGAAGCUGCCAGUUUGAAAGGGGAAAAGGGAGAUCAAGUUCUCGUCGAAUUGGUUGAAACAUCAAAGAAAGUCUACUUUCCAAAAGACGAUGUGCAGAAAAUGAAUCCUCCAAAAUUUACAAAAGUGGAAGAUAUGGCAGACUUAACAUGCCUUAACGAAGCGUCUGUUCUACAUAAUCUCAAAGAUAGAUAUUACUCUGGCCUCAUUUAUACAUAUUCUGGUUUGUUUUGCGUUGUCAUCAAUCCCUACAGGUUUUAUCCUAUUUACACUGAUAAAGUUAUCGACUUAUACAAGGGCAAGAAACGUCAUGAAGUGCCUCCCCAUGUUUUUGCAAUCACAGAUACUGCAUACAGAAGUAUGCUUCAAGAUCGUGAGGAUCAGUCUAUUCUUUGCACUGGCGAGUCUGGUGCAGGAAAGACUGAAAACACCAAAAAGGUCAUUCAAUACCUCGCGCACGUUGCAGCGUCUCACAAAGGCGCGAAAGUAUCCCAUGGCGGCACCGGACCAGAAUUCAAGCAGAACUUAUCUUACGGUGAGCUUGAGCAGCAAUUGUUGCAAGCCAACCCCAUUUUGGAAGCUUUUGGUAACGCAAAGACAGUAAAGAAUGACAACUCUUCCCGUUUCGGUAAAUUCAUCAGGAUUAACUUUGAUACUUCUGGAUACAUCGCUGGUGCAAAUAUCGAGACAUAUCUUCUUGAGAAAGCUCGUGUUAUCCAGCAAGCUGGCGGUGAAAGAACAUUCCAUAUUUUCUACCAAAUGCUGUGUGGUGCCAAUAGUGAACUCAAAAAGGAACUUCUUCUUGAAGACAUCAGCAAAUAUCGACUCAUUUCUAACGGAAUGCAAACUCUCCCUGGAACCAAGGAUGCCGACAUAUUCCAAGAAACUCUUGCUGCUAUGGAGAUCAUGAACAUUUCUCCUACAGAUGUUAAAAGUAUGCUGAAGGUUGUAAGCAGUGUUAUGCUUUUCGGUAACAUGGAAUUCAAAAAGGAAAGAAGUUCUGACCAAGCCACAAUGCCCGAGAACACAGUCGCUCAACGUCUUUGUGCUCUGCUCGGAAUGAGCGUCGUGGACUUCACCAAAGCAUUGCUGAAACCCAAAAUCAAAGUGGGACGUGAUUUCGUACAGAAAGCACAAACAAAGGAACAGGUUGACUUUGCCGUUGAGGCCCUUGCCAAGGCAAUUUACGAACGACUUUUCCGUUGGUUGGUUCAUCGCAUCAAUCGUUCUCUUGAUCGUUCUACCAGACAGGGAGCUUCAUUCAUCGGUAUUUUGGAUAUCGCUGGAUUUGAGAUCUUCGAGGCGAACAGUUUUGAGCAGCUUUGUAUCAACAUGACGAACGAAAAACUGCAGCAGCUAUUCAACCACACCAUGUUUAUCCUGGAACAGGAAGAAUAUCGUCGUGAAGGAAUUGAAUGGAAAUUUAUUGAUUUUGGUCUGGAUUUGCAACCUUGCAUCAACCUGAUUGAGAGCCCAUCUAAUCCUCCUGGUAUCCUUGCAUUGUUGGAUGAAGAAUGUUGGUUCCCUAAAGCAACAGAUAAAUCUUUCGUUGAAAAAUUGGUCAAAGAACAAGGAAACCAUCCCAAGUUCCAGAGAUCAAAAACAUUGAAGGACAAGAGUGAUUUUAUCAUCAUUCACUACGCUGGAAAGGUGGAAUACACUGCUGCACGAUGGCUGAUGAAAAACAUGGAUCCGUUGAAUGACAAUGUAACAGAUCUCCUUCAUAAUUCUAAUGAUGAAUUUGUCGCUGGAUUGUGGAAAGACAUGUCCAAGGUUGUUGGUAUGGAAAAUCUUGUCGGCAGCGAAAAGCCUUUCGGAUCUUCCACUUACAAGACUCGUAAGGGUAUGUUCCGUACUGUCGGGGCUUUGUACAAGGACCAACUGAGUCGUCUGAUGACAACUCUACGUAACACCAACCCUAACUUCGUGAGAUGUAUCAUUCCAAACUACGAGAAGAAACCAGGCAAGAUUAUUGCUCAUCUUGUACUUGAACAACUCAGAUGCAAUGGUGUGUUGGAAGGAAUCAGAAUCUGCAGACAAGGUUUCCCCAACAGAAUCCAGUUCCAAGAAUUCCGUCAACGAUAUGAAAUUCUCACACCAAACAUUUUGCCAAAAGGUUUUAUGGAUGGAAAGAAAGCUGCUGUUAUGAUGCUUGAAGAAUUGGACCUGGAUGAGAAUCUUUUCCGUAUUGGUCAGAGUAAAAUCUUCUUCAGAGGAGGUGUACUCGCUCAUCUUGAGGAAGAAAGAGAUCUUCGUCUCACAGAUAUCAUCAUACAAUUCCAGGCUGCUUGCCGCGGAUUCCUUGCACGAAAAUUGUUUGCCAAAAGAAAGGAUCAACUCCGUGCCAUCAGAGUUAUUCAAAGAAAUGGUCUUGCUUAUCUCAAACUUAGAAAUUGGCCAUGGUGGAGACUUUUCACAAAGGUCAAGCCACUCUUGGAUGUCACUCGACAAGAAGAAGAUUUGCACGCUAAAGAGAAGGAAUUGAAAUCUGUGAUGGAAAAGAGAGAUCAACUUGAGAAAGAUCUUCAUGACACUGAAAAGAAAUACGCUCAAGUUUGCGAAGAGAAAAACACUCUCGUUGAUCAACUUGCUCAAGAACAAGAGAUCUGUCAAGAGGCAGAAGACAUGAGAGCAAGACUUGCUGCGAAAAAGCAAGAACUCGAGGAGAUCCUUCGUGAGAUGGAGACUAGGAUUGAUGAGGAAGAAGAGAGAAAUGAACAGGUUUUGGCUGAAAAGAAAAAGCUUCAGGUCUACGUCAAUGAUCUUGAAGACAAUUUAGAAAAAGAAGAAGCUGCUCGUCAGAAACUUCAACUCGAGAAAGUUGGCAAUGAAGCAAAGAUAAAGAAACUUGAAGAAGAACUCACCAUGACUGAUGACAACCUCGGCAAGAUUGUCACUGCACGAAAAGCACUCGAAGAAAGAGUGAGCGAACUCCAGUCUAAAUUAGCUGAGGAAGAAGACAAAGCGAAAACAUACGGAAAACAAAAUCAUAAGUAUGAGCAAAUCAUCGCCGAUCUUGAGGAACGUUUGAGAAAAGAAGAAAAACUCAGAAUGGAACUUGAGAAGGUUAAGAGGAAGUUGGAAGCUGAGAUUGCAGAAUUGAAAGAUCAAAUUCAAGAAUUGGAAUUGCAAAGAGAUGAAUUGAAAUCUCAAAAUCUGAGAAAGGAUGAAGAAAUUUCCAAACUCAAUGAAAAGUUUGAUGAAGAACAGACUGCCAGAGCUCACCUUGCCAAAGAACUGCGUGAAACAGAGAACGCAAAACAAGAACUCACAGAAGAUCUUGAUGCAGAAAGAGCAGCGAGAUCCAAAGCUGAGAAACAGAAGAGAGAUCUCAGUGAGGAACUGGAAGCUUUGAAGUCUGAAUUAGAAGAUUCUCUUGAUACAACUGCAGCACAACAAGAAGCAAGAGCUAAGAGAGAACAAGAUCUUGAACAGCUGAAGAGAACAUUGAAAGAUGAGGCGUCUACUCAUGAACAGCAAGUGCAAGACAUGAGAAAGAAACACACUCAACAGAUCGACGAAAUGCAAGAUGAAAUUGAUUCCUUCAAAAAGUCCAAAACCAGCUUGGAAAAAUCGAAAGCCUCUUUGGAGAAUGAAAACGCAGAUCUUGCAGAUGAAUUGAGAAUUCUAACACAAGGCAAGACUGAUUCAGAAAGCAAACGUCGCAAGCAAGAGAAUUAUAUUCAAGAAAUUUCUGCCAAACUUCAAGAUACAGAAAGACAACGUAAUGAUUUGCAAGACAAGUACAGUAAAUCCCAGUCUGAAUUGGAGACAGUUUCUCACAAUGUUGAGGAAUUGGAGACACAACUCUCAAGAUCUCAGAAAGAAGCCUCACAACUGGAUACUCAACUUUCCGAGCUCUCGGCCCAAGUGCAAGAGGAGACUUCAUCAAAACUCAAGCUUUCUUCGCAAAUCCGUGCACUCGCAGAUGAAAGAGCUUCUCUCGAAGAGCAACUUGAGGAAGAAGAGGAAGCUCGUAAAGCAGUCGAGAAACAACUCGCAGUGUCAAAUUCAACCGUUGCUGAGUUGAAGAAAUCAAUGGAAUCCGAUACAGAAGCCAUUGAUCAUUUGGAAGAAUCAAAGAAGAGAUUGCAGAGGGAAUUGGAAGAAAAAACUCAACUCUUGGAAGAUAAAAUGUCUUCUAACGAAAAGCUGGACAAGACCAACAAACGUCUCCAACUCGAAGUUGAUGAUGUCUCUUUGGAGCUCGAUCGUUACCGACAACAAUUAUCUCAAAUGGAAAAGAAACAACGCCAAUUCGACAAAUCUCUUGCCGAUGAGAAACUCAUUUCUGCCAAAUACUCCGAAGAAAGGGAUAACGCUGAACGUAGCGCUCGCGAAAAAGAAACCAAAGCGAUUUCAUUGCAACAUCAAUGUGAGGAAUUCCAAGAUAAGAUCGAAGAAUUGGAGAGAAUCCGCAGAACACAACAAGCUGAACUUGAUGAGCUUGUCAGCUCUACUGAUGCUACUGGCAAGAAUGUCCACGAGCUUGAAAGACAGAAGAGAGCGCUAGAUAGCCAACUCGAUGAGAUGAAAACUCAACUUGAGGAGCUGGAAGAUGAGCUCCAGGUCACAGAGGAUGCCAAACUUCGCAUUGAAGUUAAUCUUCAAGCUGCCAAAGCUGGAUAUGAACGAGAUCUUGCUGCAAGAGAAGAACAAUCUGAAGAGAAACGUAGACACAUCGUUAAACAGCUCCGUGAUAUGGAACUCGAGCUUGAAGAAGAAAGAAAACAGAAAUCUUCUGCUGUUGCUGCCAAGAAGAAGAUCGAAAUGGAUUAUGCUGAUUUGGAAGGAAACUUAGAUGCUGCAGCUAAAGCUAAGGAAGAUGCUUACAAACAAUUGAAGAAGGCACAGGCUCAAAUGAAAGAAUACCUUCACGAUCUUGAGGAUGUUCGUGCUUCUCGUGACGAGCUCGCUACUGCUUCUCGAGAAUUUGAGAAGAGGGCUAAAAACAAGGAUGCUGAGAUUCUUCAGCUACAAGAAGAUCUUGCAAGUGCAGAACGGGCUCGUAAAAACGCUGAACAGGAAAGAGAUGAUCUGCAGGAUGAAAUUCAAUCCGGAACUAAAGACAAAUCUCUGCAACAAGAAGAACGCAGACGUCUCGAAAAUAUCAUCAGUGAAUUGGAAGACGAGAAGGAAGAAUUGGAACAAACCGUUGAAUUCAGCGAAGAGAAAAUGCGAAAAUCCGUCGCCCAAGUCGAUCAAUUACAAAACGAAUUGGCAAUGGAACGUUCCGCGACACAGAAAGCAGAGAAUUUGAGAUCACAACUCGAUCGCCAAAACAAAGAACUCAAGAUCAAGUUGUCGGAAAUGGAACAAAUGGUCAGGACCAAACAAAAGAAUGCCAUCGCUUCUCUCGAAUCAAAGAUUGCCAAUCUCGAAGACCAAUUAGAGGCUGAAACUAAGGAAAGAGCAGGAGCUUUCAAACAAGUUCGCAGAUCCGAGAAGAAGAUGAAAGAACUGAUGAUGCAGAUUGAAGAUGAACGCAGAACCGCUGAUCAACAUAAAGAACAGGCGGACAAACUGAACACUCGUCUCAAGGGAUUGAAACGCCAGCUCGAUGAUGCAGAGGAGGAAGUAUCUCGUGCCAAUGCGGGCAAACGUAAGAUGCAACGCGAGCUCGAUGAUGCUACUGAACUCACUGAACAGUUGCAGCGUGAAGUCAACCAACUCAGAAAUAGAAUGAGCUCCAACAUAAAAGAUACUGGUGCAAAAUCAUCGAGGCGUGACAGAGGUGCUGGGGGUGGUGGAUACAAAGGCAAGCUAUCAAAGACGCCGUCAAAAUCUGCGAUGGACAACGGCUCUGGGGACGAAGAAGAAGAGUAAAAUACAAAACACAUUCACAUUUUUCUAAUCACAUGCACAUGACAAACAUACAUUUAUGUGUUAAUAUGCAUUUUGAUCGACGCUUUUUCUCCCAAAAAAAUUAUCUCAUAUUCGCUUUAACUCGUGAUUCAAGCUUGUUUUUUUUGCUCAGCAUUAUAUAUAUAUUAUAUACUAUAUCUCUAAUGAAGAAAUUCAAUAGGUGUGCUGUAUGUAUCCGUAUUUAACCAGUGUAUAAUUCUUUUUGUAAAUAUAGAAGAAGUUGCUUGUCACAUGAGUAAAAAUUUAUUACUAUUUUACUGUAUUAUGCUGUAUAAAUCAACUAAUUUUUCUCCGCACACACACAUACAUUGCACAUUGAUUACAUGAAGAUUGAUUCAAACAUCAAAAACCUCGUCAUAUUGACCUUGGAAUGUCCGUCUCACCUUCAUAAGAUAGACGAGGUGGUGACACAGGUUACCGAUCUUCCAAAUCCCGAUAUCGUCAUGCUUUAGAUUCUACGAAUGACACUGAUGAAACCGAGAGCCAGGGUACUGAAGGUCCCACAGGAGAUGAAUAGGUCGCAUGGACGUCUGUGUGUCAUCUGGAUAUCGAGACACGAGUCUCAACUGAAGGAAAAUGAGCAGUGCGUGUAUUGUGUGUGCUAUCUUAAAAUUUUUGUCACAUUCCAUAUGUGUUUGUAUACUUGUUCUAUAUUCUGUCGCAUUGAUUUGUCGACAAGAGAUCACAUACCGGAAGUAUUGGCCAUGCUGAUUGCUGCUUAAUGCACAGAUUAUACUAUACAGAAAUUUUUGCGGCAGUCAAUCUCCGCUUUUGCUUUAUAACCUCUUUCUUGUAAAUAGAUAGCAAUCGUUUGUUUUUCGUCUUUUUCGUGGAAUUUGCAUCCUUUACAAAGAGUGCCUUUCUUCCUUUUACAAGUGUUUCAAAUAUGUCUGAUUAUCAACCCGUGAUUGAGUUUGAUUUGAAUCCCUCAACGUAUCACGUCGGGAUUGAUUUGUUGUAUAUAACUUUGUGUUGCGAUCUAGAUAAAAUCAAUAGCUCUGGUGAUAAUAUUUUGUAAUCGUAUAUAGUUUUUCCUUUUUUGUAAUAAUCUACAUAGUGGCUUGAAGUACCUGCUUAGGCGUCCUCUCCUUUCCGGACUAUGUUCCCAUAUGUGUGCAUGUGUAACACAGCUGUGCUUACGUAUAAUUUUGUGUGCCUAAUCGUUUAUAAUAUAUUUUGUGUAUGUGUCACAUAUAUACUAUACACAACAGUGCAAGAACCUAUUAUACUCUGUGUAUGUACGUAACUGCUUUAGCGCUUAUGUAAGCGCUUGCACAACUAUUGUAUCUCUUGUUAUAUACCAGCAUCGACCAUAACUGAUUUUGUAAAUAUUAUCCUAAUUGAAAUAGAAUAUUGACAAAAGUGGAUUUGACAUAAUCGCAAUCAUAUUGUAAUUUUCAGGACAUAAUUCUUACAAAACAAUUUUUAAACUUGCCUCUUCGAAAUUUCCAGAAUAAAGUUUCUACUUGGUGUUGCAGUGUUGUUAGCUCAUGAUAAUGUUGCCUGAUACAACUCUCUGAAUCCAUUGUUGAAGACCGGUAAUUCGCUCUUAUACUUGCUUCCUGUAACUGAAUGCAUAUUUUCUGCCCUUUGUGUUAUCUUGUACAUACUUUUCACAAGUAAUCAGCUGAUUUUGCGUAAUUAUUAUUAACCUUUAAGCGACAAGAGAAUGAUAUUUGUUAUAACUUGAUGAAGAAGUCAAAAUAUAUUGUGAAUUAUCAAAUUCUAUAAUGAGCUAUGACUUAGUAGAUUUACCAGUAAUAUUAAAUAAUAUUAUCAAUGUGUAUUUACAUAGAAAACGCAAACAAAUAAAACACCAAUGAAUA
Styela clava is the source of this 7928-nucleotide RNA transcript. RefSeq lists it as uncharacterized. NCBI's taxonomy places the organism in Eukaryota, Metazoa, Chordata, Ascidiacea, Stolidobranchia, Styelidae. The record is from RefSeq and is a predicted model, not a curated record.